CCCGCCCCCUCGCUUUCUCCCUCGGCUCCUCCAUCCGCUCCCGUCGAGCGGGGACAUUGCGAUGAGGCGGGAUCGCGGCCCUAAAACGGCCCUGGGUGGAGCUGGCGAGGUGGAACCAGGUGGGAUGGCAGCCUCUCCCAUGGGCCGUCCCAGACGGCUCCAACGCUACCUCCAGAGCGGCGAAUUCGACCAGUUUCGGGACUUCCCCAUCUUUGAGAGCAACUUCGUACAGGUGACUCGGUUGGGAGAAGUUGCCAACGAGGUCACCAUGGGGGUGGCAGCCUCCAGUCCAGCCCUGGAGCUCCCGGACCUAUUGCUUCUGGCCGGCCCUGCCAAGGAGAACGGACACCUGCAACUCUUCGGGCUGUUCCCCCUGAAGUUCGUCCAGCUCUUUGUCCACGACAAAAGCCGGUGUCAGCUCGAGGUCAAGUUGAACACCAGCCGCACCUUCUACUUGCAGCUGCGCGCCCCACUCGAGACCCGAGACCGAGAGUUCGGCCAGUGGGUGCGGCUGCUUUACCGCCUGCGCUUCCUCUCCGCUUCCGCCGUGCCCUUCACGCAGGAGUAAGAGGUGCUGGAGGAUGAAGAUGAGGAGGGUGAUGAUGAUAAGGUGGAGGCCCAGAGGGAGUGGGAGGAGCCCCAAGGCGUGGAAGCCAGACUUGACCCCAAGACCUCUGAACUCUGGGGACUCUGAGUCUUCCAGCAUCCUUCAAGGUCACCGAAUGACCAGAGAUCAAAGUACCUUGCCUCAGGGCCGGGCAGAUGAGAUAUUAAAGUUAAUAAAGGUCAAUCCGUUAAGAACCAACAA
This is an RNA transcript of Pongo pygmaeus (Bornean orangutan), 808 nucleotides long. It is a transcript of the gene named golgi associated RAB2 interactor 5A, with no coding region annotated. The record is from RefSeq and is a predicted model, not a curated record. NCBI's taxonomy places the organism in Eukaryota, Metazoa, Chordata, Mammalia, Primates, Hominidae. The transcript has 5 exons.